RNAcentral lists this long non-coding RNA (2265 nucleotides) under Parus major (Great Tit). Its description in RNAcentral is "lncRNA (ENSPMJG00000004406.1)". Lineage: Eukaryota; Metazoa; Chordata; Aves; Passeriformes; Paridae. The record is from RNAcentral.
GCCGGGGGGCUGCUGGGGAGACCCCCCCCAAGCCAAGGACCUCACGUUACGCUGCGGGCAUGGUGCUGCUCUCUGGGUGUUCCGAACUGCAGCUGCAUCUGAGGAGCCAGGUGGAGGGUGGAGCUGGUGCAUCUAGAAGAUUGGGAUGGAAACAGAAAAAAAGAAAAAAAAAAAAAAAAAAAAAAAAAAAAAAAAAGAAAAAAAAAAAGGAAAAAACCCCACAAACAAAGCAAAUGUGUAGAUAGAGAAUUUUUUUAAGAACUGCAGCUACACAGAUGUGUGGAUAUGGAGUGGGCACCCUGCCCAGCUGCCCUGUCCUCUCCCUGUGGCACUCUGCCUCCUGUCAGUGAGGCCCCAUAGCCAUGGAGGGCAGUGCCUGCAUCCCGGCUGAGUCCCCUCCCUGGCAGCCCUGUCCCUUGCAUCAGCCCAGUGAUCUGGGGGCUUUUCCAACACCUGGGAGAGGAGGGAGGCCUGGCAUGGCAGAGCCUUGUGAUCUAUGGCAAGCCAUGGCUUGCAGUGGGCUGUGUGACUGUCCUCCAGUCCUGGUGAGGCCAGAUAAGGUUUCCCAUCCCCUCCUCUAGCAGCCCUGGUCUCUCUCCCUUCAGGGUGCUGGAGCCCAAAGUACCCCAGAUAAUGUCCCCAGCUCUGUGGCCCCAGCCUGACCCUCUGGUGACACCCCUGGUCUUUACAUGCUGGAUGGCUCUGCAGUGCAUGGGCACCCACUGUGGUCACAUCAGGGCCACACUGCUUGAGCAGGACCAGGGCACUGCCAGGCACACUGAAUGGGGGACAGCACUGUGCCAUUCCUGUGGAGAGGGCCCCACAUACCCCUGGCUCAGCCAGGUAGCUCUGCUCAGAGGUGGGAGCUGUGAGGGCAGCACAGGAAUCCCUUUUUUCCAGGCUGUGUCCUAAGGGAGCAAGCCUGCAGCUGGGUGAAGGUGCCCCAUGUCCCUCUGACCCAGGAGCAGGUGGCUGCUGGGACAGCUGGGAUGUGGGUUUGUCAUGCCCAUCACUGGGGACUCAGUCUUGUGCAUGCCAAGUUGAAGAGGCUGAAGAAGCUGCAAGCGUGGAGCCACUUCCAGGGGAGGACCCACCAGCUCUUGGACUCAAGUGCCCAUACCCAGUAUCUCUCCAAAGCCCACAGUGCCAGGGCAUGUGCUGAGCUGGUGUGGGAGCAGGGGCACACAGGGAGCUCCUGCCACGGUACUGCACACACCAACAUCCACAGCAGCAUCACCUCUACAACUGUGGGGGCCAGGGAUAGUAGGGGCCCACCCUGGGACACUGCACAUGGCUGGACAGUGAAACACCACCCUGGCGGACAGACUCAUCCCAGAGCUGCAGUCCUGCGUCUCUCCAUCACACCACUCCAGCACUUUGGCUUCAGGUCUGCACUGCCAGCUGUGGCCGGGCUCCAGGCACCUCCACUGGAUACACCCAGCACUGCAGAUGCUACUGGGCAGGAAAAUGACGGUGGCUUUGUUUGGCCCGUGGGGUUUGUGUGUGUCACUAUUGAAGACGCUGGUUUGUACUAGGCUGGCGAGGGUGGCGCUGGGCAUCCUUCCGCUGGCAGAGGCUGUAUUGUUUUAGGAGAUGUUUGGUAUUGUCUAUGUUGUCUUCCAUGUGAACAUGACAUUUAUUCAUUCAGAGGCUUGGCCUCUUCUUUCCUGGUGGGGAGAAGGGAGAAGCUGGUGCUUGGGAGCUGCUGAGUGUAUGAGGAGGUGGCACAGGAUGGAAGGAGUUGGUUGUGCCCUGGGGGAUGAUUUCCUACUGCUGGAGCAGCCCUGGCCAGUGCUUCUGGCAAACGCAUUGCCCCCAUGGUGCAGGGACAAGCUGGGGUUAUCCAUGCAAUGCCUUGCAAAAGCAGCCAUCACUGCUGGGGUCUUGCAUGUGGGAAGCUGAAGGGCCAGUGCCUGCUGUGGGGAUGGAAUGGCUCCAGGGAAACCUGGCACUUGUAGAUCUCUGGGGAAGGACAGAGGGGGCCUGAGCAGCAGUCCCCAGGACCACCGAGAGGUUGCACUGUUGGUACCACAAACACAAGUCUGCUGCUGCUCAGGCAUUGGUGUGGGAGCACUGAAACCCCACACAGGCAUUUACAUCCCCCCUCCAUAGGGACGGGGUGACACUUGGAGGGUGCCAGCCUGUUGUGCCCUACCUCAUGCACUCAGUCACCUUCAGUCUUCCCCACUUAUCACACCAAACAAGCAUUGAUACCAAAGAAACGUUUAAUAAGCUGCAAUAAAAUACGGACCUUUAGAAAGCUCA